Brassica rapa (field mustard) is the source of this 2578-nucleotide long non-coding RNA. RefSeq lists it as uncharacterized. Lineage: Eukaryota; Viridiplantae; Streptophyta; Magnoliopsida; Brassicales; Brassicaceae. The record is from RefSeq and is a predicted model, not a curated record.
GAUUCAUGGCCUGACCACACAAAGCUUUACAUGAUUCGUCUGACCACAAGAAUACAAAAUUCAUAAAAUACAAAGUUUACAACACUGCAACACCCGUGACUUUGUGGCCUGACCACAAGAAUUUCAUGACCUUCUCCAUUCUUUCAAGACCUGAAAUUUUCCAAAAUAAAUAUUCAAUGAUUCAGUCAAGCAAUAUAUUGUACAGACAAAAAACCCUUAAUGAAAGACGCCAUCACAUAUCAAAGGUUUACAAAAUGGUUUUAAUUAUUAUUACAUAGAUAGGAAAGUGCUUUUGUUUUACCCUACUUGUUGAGCAUAUUCUGAUGUGUUAAACAUACCCUUAAUCACGUUGAUUCCCGACUUCCUCACAGUGCCGGACUAAUCUUUUUCACUGCCCUAAUCAAAAUUUGAAACUAUGUCCUUUUACACAUUUUAUCAAGAUUAUAAACAGUAUAAAACUCCUAAAAUUUUCAUUAAAUAGAAUUGAAGUCUAUAGUUUGUUUAGAAAAAUAAACUGUGAUAAAAAUACUUAUUGCUGAAAUAUAUAUAUAUAUAUAUAUAUAUAUAUAUUUUGCAUUUUUAUGCUAAAUUAUCCAUUAGACUUCUAUAAUCAAUUUUUCAACCAUCUAUUAUAUAUCUAUUAUAUGACUAUCAUCAAAAUCCGUAAACACAAUCUAAAAAUAUUGUCAUAACAAAGUUAAGCUAUCAAGCUUUUAUCACAACUGAAAAACUAUGAACUAACAAACAUACCUUCUUACAACGUAAAAGAUUAGUUGAAAAAACUGAAACACUAAAACUAAUUUAUGUAUUACGACUUAAAAGAAAAGUGGACAGAAAGAAAAAUUAUGAUAAAAUAAAAAUCAUGCAUAAGGAUACAAAAGAAUAAAUUGAAACCAAAAGAAAAUAUGUUUUGUUGCUAAUUUUAAUUAGAGUUUUAAUUAUCAUCUGAAAUAGAAAUUUACUAAUGUAUUUUAUAUAUAACAAAUUUAUAAAUAUAGUUGAAAAGUUUAACAAAUUUUAUACAAAAAAUGUCUAAUAAAUAAUAUUUUAACAAAAAAACUUACAAACAGAGGAUCAUUGUUCUCAAUGCAACUAGCCAGCUCGUCCCAUUCAGCCAUCUGCAGUGUUCAAAGUAGAUUCCUUAACACAAAAAUAGAGCACAAAGCCAUGAAACUUAAUUUCUGAAAAUUCAAACUUAAAAUUCAUUAACUUUUGAAAUACAAUGACUCCAUGCCAUAAGCAGAACAAGAAACACAAACAUAAAAUACAACAAACAACAACUCAUUAAACAGAUGACCCAUCUUCUUCUUAGACGAUUCAAUUCAAACCAGAAUCAAGACAUGUCUCUUUUUUUGUAUAACAGUCUCUUUUUUUUCUUCUGAAAACCUUAGAAACAGUCUCUCUAUCUUGCUUCUUCCCUAUAUAUUUUCCAUAAUUUUUAGUAGUAAGACAUUCUCUUGGCGAUUCUCGAUCGAUAGUUUCAAAGACUCAGGACGCUGUAGUGGAAAAUAAAUUAAUAUACAUUUUACACUAUGCUAAAAUGCGAUCGCUCUUAUUGAAAGUCCCCUAAUACAUCUUAUCCUAAAAGAGAUGUAGCUCGUCCAAAGAGUAAGAUAUGCCAGUGGUAUUAUUAGAUAGUAGAUAUAAUAUGUAAAUGAGUGGCCUGAAAAUUUAGGACAACAAAGGUCCUUAACUUGAGUGGCUGAGUUAGGUAAACAAGAGUUGUUGAGUGAGUUCUUGUUUGCUUGCCCAUCUUCUGUAUAAGACCUGACGAUUAAGUGCGAGACAGCUGUGCACAUUGCCUCGAGGAGCGGCCAGUUUAUGGCAUUUAAGGUUCUUUUAGGAUGGCUUCGGAGAGUGAACAGGGAAGAAAUCUUGGACUGGAAAGACGAAGAUGGUAACACAGUCUUUCAUAUCGCUGCAUCCAUGAAUCAAACUGAGGAUAUACGCUCGAUAAUGAAGUUGCUACGUAGGACGGUUAACGCAGAAGCCAAGAACUCGAACUGUAAGACCGCAAUGGACCUACUCCCAUGAUACCCAGUGAUGACAGGAACUUUAUUAUUAUGGUGGUCCAUGAUAUUCAUUUCCAACAAACCUUGCAGGCAACGAGUGGACUUUCCGGCAAGGCAGCUCAGUUCAGGAGCUAUAGUGCUAACAAAGCCUGAAGCGCUCAAAAAUGUGUGUGGACUGUAUUAUUUGUUUUCCACCUUAUGUAGUAUUUGAACUCUUUUGUUUGGUUGUACUUUAAAUAACGUUUUCUACUCUUGCAUGUUCGCCCAUAAGGUUUCAAGUAGAACGGUCUUUUUCUUCUUUGUACGUUUUCUUUAGUCUUUCCAAGUUUGGUUGUCCCUACUUUAAAUAAGCCCAUAACUCCAGACAGCUUCAAGUAGAACGGUCUUUUCUACUUUGUACGUUUUCUUCACUCUUUCCAAGUUUGGUUCGAGGUAUUGUAACAACAGUCGAACUAGUUUAAUCUCAUAGUAUUGUUCUUACUAGUGGAAAAGAACUUUUGUGACUGAUACAUUAGAAUGUUUCUCACCAGAAGAUUCGAUUCAAAGACUAAAAGUAAGAACAUUAA